CCCAUUUCUUAAUCAAGUCGAUGGACAGUCAGGCAAGGUUGAACAUGAAAUUUGUACAGUCUCUUCAGUGUUAGUUCAGAGGAGCAAUGGAUCUGCAGGGAUUUUGCAGAGAGCGGCAGUUUCAGAACACCGCAGUUUUGACAAAGGACCAUUUGAGUGGUGAAAACAGUUUUACCAUGGAACAUUGAUAGGUUGUACAACAGUGAUGCUCUCAUUGCUUGUUUUGGCAUUGAUUUACGAGAACUAAGCACCAUGUUGCAUCAUCGAGGAGCUAGAACAGGAGUUAAUCAGGAACCAUCCUGAAAAUCAUACUAGAGUACUAGACUGAUCCAAGGUUCUCUGUCUUGGGAGUUGUACACCUUUUAGCCUUGUUAAAUCCUCCCCAUCCAUACAAAGUCUGCACAUGAGGAUCUUGUGUUGUAUCUUCUUACUGUACAUAGUAGACAAAUCUGGUAAGUACGUGUUAAACUCCUCCAACCAUAUUACUGAUACCUAGAUGUUUUCUCUUGAACUGUGAAGUAUCAAGAAAGUCAACAUGGUCCUCAGUUAACGCUAUUUCAGAAUUUCCUUCUCUUCCUUCAUGGACGAAAUUUAUCAUGCAUUCAACAUUUUAUUUAUUUGUUGUGGUUGGUUCUGAGAUACUUUGCAGUUACAUUUUGAUCGUCACUCAACAAGACUGGCUGGUGUGCUUAGCUUGUUUGGUUGUGAGGAUCAUAAUGGUAGAAUAUAUAUUGCUGAGUUGCUACUGAAUAUAAGGACCUUUACAAGAAUACCCUUCAUACCAUCAUAGUGCUUGCGUGUUGCCUGGAGCCAGCCGAGAUAUCAGGUAUGCCCAAU
Long non-coding RNA from Aegilops tauschii subsp. strangulata, 837 nucleotides. RefSeq lists it as uncharacterized. NCBI's taxonomy places the organism in Eukaryota, Viridiplantae, Streptophyta, Magnoliopsida, Poales, Poaceae. The record is from RefSeq and is a predicted model, not a curated record.